Molecule: non-coding RNA, 37 nt
Filed under: unclassified sequences
Description: L31-Actinobacteria ribosomal protein leader
Rfam family: L31-Actinobacteria ribosomal protein leader
Source: RNAcentral
GCGGUACCGGUUCACGCCUUCGGGCGACCCGGCGACC